AGUGAACGCUGGCGGUAGGCCUAACACAUGCAAGUCGAACGGCAGCACAGUAAGAGCUUGCUCUUACGGGUGGCGAGUGGCGGACGGGUGAGGAAUACAUCGGAAUCUACUUUUUCGUGGGGGAUAACGUAGGGAAACUUACGCUAAUACCGCAUACGACCUACGGGUGAAAGCAGGGGAUCUUCGGACCUUGCGCGAUUGAAUGAGCCGAUGUCGGACUAGCUAGUUGGCGGGGUAAAGGCCCACCAAGGCUACGAUCCGUAGCUCGUCUGAGAGGAUGAUCAGCCACACUGGAACUGAGACACGGUCCAGACUCCUACGUGAGGCAGCAGUGGGGAAUAUUGGACAAUGGGCGCAAGCCUGAUCCAGCCAUACCGCGUGGGUGAAGAAGGCCUUCGGGUUGUAAAGCCCUUUUGUUGGGAAAGAAAAGCAGCAGGUUAAUACCCCGCUGUUCUGACGUUACCCAAAGAAUAAGCACCGGCUAACUUCGUG
RNAcentral lists this ribosomal RNA (492 nucleotides) under uncultured bacterium. RNAcentral's name for it is "partial 16S ribosomal RNA". It matches the Rfam family "Bacterial small subunit ribosomal RNA", at positions 29 to 507 of the family's 1533-position model. The record is from RNAcentral.